GGGCAGCAGUCACGCCAGCGGCCGGCCUGUCUCGGGGCCUAAUCUCUGCUUUCUGGCCCCACAGAAGUGCCCCGGAGAAGCCACAGAGCCACCCCCUGGAGACGCACUCCUGGACUUGGCCAGCUCCACGGUCGGUCACUGAGCUGACUGCUCUCCCUUUCCCUGGGAACAAGCCCAGCAUUUUACACACCCAGCUUCUCUCUGAGGGUCUCCAGUAUGCCCUCCCUCGUGCUCUGCUGGACGCCUGCUGCAGGGGACACAGUCUGCUAGGCUGCGGACUUGGGCACCACAUAUGGACUCCACGCCAGUAAGACCCAGGGAGUUUUCUGUGCCACCCUGCAACCCCAGGAAGUCACUACCGGGGCCUCCAACAUGAGGAUUGCACCACCCAAACCAAAAAUUCUUUCCUCUUCUGGAACCCCAGCCAGCCUUUCCCUCUCCGGCUGUCUGACCUUCCCCUCAGCCCUUGCCACCUUUGCCCCUGGACCCCUCAGAACACAGUGUCAAGGACCUACAUUCUACAGAGAUUGCCAGAUGCCUGCUUUGCCUACACCCUGCAUUCCCAAUGAGAGGCACCUGGAGCCUACCUCAAUUCCAGAUACCAACUGUGUGACUGAAUAGACUUCCUAGCCUCGGGUGGUUCUUUGGCUGCAGGGGACUUGGCUGAACCCUGUAUCUGCGGGAGCCCUGCAGAUAAGACUCAUGUGCUAGAUUGCUAGAGAUACCUCUGGUGUGCUGGAUGCUUAAUGGGCACUUACCUCUGAAGAAGGACUGGGACUGGUGGAUGGCUCCAUUCAGUUCUGGGAGCACUGGGAUCUCCUAGGCCAUAGGCCACAGCAGCUGGCCUCAGGGCUGGAUUCUCGGGCUGCUCUGGCCUGUUGCUUCUCAGGCUUCGGCUCAGGCUUUGGCUCAGGCUUCGGCUCAGGCCUCGGCUCAGUCUCCAGCCUCGGCUCAGGCCUUGGCACAGGCCUUGGCUCAAGUUUUGGCCUCGGCUCAGGCCUCGGCUCAGGCCUCGGCUCAGGAGGCCUCGGCACAGGCCUUGGCACAGGCCUUGGCUCAAGUUUCGGCCUCCACUCAGGCCUUGGCUCAGGGGGCCUUGGCACAGGCCUUGGCUCAAGUUUCGGCCUCCGCUCAGGGAUUGGCUCAGGCCUCGGCUCAGGCCUUGGCUCAAGUUUUGGCCUCGGCUCAGGCCUCCGCUCAGGCUUUGGCUUAGGCUGGAGAAGAGGUUCAGUCUGAGGAGAUGUAGGAUUCUGGGAUAGGGCCUUGAGAUCAUCCUCAUCAUCCAGCUCCUGCACAGUGAACUGGGUGGUGACCACUCGGCCCCUGAGGAGAAGCAAAAGUCCUUGAUAGGAUCUCAAAAACAAGUCUUCUCCAGCCGAGUCUGGCCCCCUCUUUCCCCCUCUCGUUGCUGGAUGGGGAAGCCUGUGGGUCACCUUGUCAGGGCUGGGCACUCCCACCUCAUACCCCUGUCCCUUCAGCUGCUUACCCCCUCUCCCUUUCUAAGUAGAAGGAAGGAAGCAGUUGGUGAGAAGUCACUGCCAAGUUGGACAACUGCUCAGGCAGAGGCAGGAGACCCUCCUUUGGACAAACUGGCCUUUUCCUGGUUGCGGGUGGGCUUCUGCCUUGGCGUGGACAGGGGGUGUUGAACACAAAAGGCUUUCUUUAAGGGGGUCACAGCUAAAAGUAUGAAAGUCUCCUGUGUGAAGAGUGGUCUUCACAUUCCCACCUUGGAUGGGAGAAAAAAACC
Psammomys obesus (fat sand rat) is the source of this 1747-nucleotide long non-coding RNA. RefSeq lists it as uncharacterized. Lineage: Eukaryota; Metazoa; Chordata; Mammalia; Rodentia; Muridae. The transcript is spliced from 3 exons. The record is from RefSeq and is a predicted model, not a curated record.